AAUGCCAGUCUCAGAGAACAAUAUCUAGCCUUAUAUAACAUCGCCCGCGAUAAGAAUACUACUAUUACGCACGUGCUCGGUUCUUCCCCGCCGAAUAUUUCUUUCAGGCGGGAUUUGAUUGGCCCCCGACUUGUGUCAUAGCAUAAUCUUUUAUCCGGGCUGGAUUCGAUUAACCCAACACAAUGUCGGGAUGUGUUUCGCUAAAACCUUAUUACAUCAGGGUCUUUCACAGUAGACUCUAUGUACCAUGCACACACGCAUUCUGAGGUACCAACAAGUAAUAAUAAGAAAAUUUGGAAGUCUAAAAUUUCAGUAGAAGUGAAAAUCUUUAUGUGUUAUCUUCGUAGGAGAGUUGUGUUAACCAAAAACACCUCGCACGGCGCAAUUGGUGAGGGAGUAAGAAGUGUUCUUUUUGUACUCAUGACGAGACAAUCAAACACCUCUUUUUUCAAUGCAAGUUUGUACGUUUUAUUUUUAUCAUUGGUUGGACAGUAUUACAAAUAG
Molecule: ribosomal RNA, 504 nt
Filed under: Triticum aestivum (bread wheat)
Lineage: Eukaryota; Viridiplantae; Streptophyta; Magnoliopsida; Poales; Poaceae
Description: partial small subunit ribosomal RNA
Source: RNAcentral